GGAGGGGUGGCAGAGCGGACGAAUGCACCGGUCUUGAAAACCGGCGGGCGUCUUCGGCGCCCCGUGGGUUCGAAUCCCACCCCCUCCG
This 88-nucleotide transfer RNA is filed under the name Thermoleophilia bacterium. RNAcentral describes it as "tRNA-Ser". It matches the Rfam family "tRNA". Rfam says of the family: Transfer RNA (tRNA) molecules are approximately 80 nucleotides in length. Their secondary structure includes four short double-helical elements and three loops (D, anti-codon, and T loops). Lineage: Bacteria; Bacillati; Actinomycetota; Thermoleophilia. The record is from RNAcentral. RNAcentral also lists the same sequence under 1 other name.